AGAGUUUGAUCCUGGCUCAGGACGAACGCUGGCGGCGUGCUUAACACAUGCAAGUCGAGCGGUAAGGCCUUUCGGGGUACACGAGCGGCGAACGGGUGAGUAACACGUGGGCGACCUGCCCUCAGCUUCGGGAUAAGCCUGGGAAACUGGGUCUAAUACCGGAUAUGACCACAUGUCGCAUGGUGUGUGGUGGAAAGUUUUUUCGGCUGGGGAUGGGCCCGCGGCCUAUCAGCUUGUUGGUGGGGUGAUGGCCUACCAAGGCGACGACGGGUAGCCGGCCUGAGAGGGCGACCGGCCACACUGGGACUGAGAUACGGCCCAGACUCCUACGGGAGGCAGCAGUGGGGAAUAUUGCGCAAUGGGCGGAAGCCUGACGCAGCGACGCCGCGUGGGGGAUGACGGCCUUCGGGUUGUAAACCUCUUUCGACCGGGACGAAGCGUGAGUGACGGUACCGGUAGAAGAAGCACCGGCCAACUACGUGCCAGCAGCCGCGGUAAUACGUAGGGUGCGAGCGUUGUCCGGAAUUAUUGGGCGUAAAGAGCUCGUAGGCGGUGUGUCGCGUCGAUCGUGAAAACGUACAGCUUAACUGUGCGCGUGCGGUCGAUACGGGCAUCACUUGAGUUCGGCAGGGGAGACUGGAAUUCCUGGUGUAGCGGUGAAAUGCGCAGAUAUCAGGAGGAACACCGGUGGCGAAGGCGGGUCUCUGGGCCGAUACUGACGCUGAGGAGCGAAAGCGUGGGGAGCGAACAGGAUUAGAUACCCCGGUAGUCC
Molecule: ribosomal RNA, 772 nt
Filed under: uncultured bacterium
Lineage: Bacteria
Description: bacterial SSU rRNA
Rfam family: Bacterial small subunit ribosomal RNA
Source: RNAcentral